RNAcentral lists this ribosomal RNA (253 nucleotides) under uncultured bacterium. RNAcentral describes it as "partial 16S ribosomal RNA". It matches the Rfam family "Bacterial small subunit ribosomal RNA", at positions 524 to 776 of the family's 1533-position model. The record is from RNAcentral.
UACAUAGGGGGCAAGCGUUGUCCGGAUUUAUUGGGCGUAAAGAGCGUGUAGGCGGCCAUACAGGUCAGCUGUGAAAACUCGAGGCUCAACCUCGAGACGUCGGUUGAAACCGUAUGGCUAGAGUCCGGAAGAGGAGAGUGGAAUUCCCGGUGUAGCGGUGAAAUGCGCAGAUAUCGGGAAGAACACCCGUGGCGAAGGCGGCUCUCUGGGACGGUACUGACGCUGAGACGCGAAAGCGUGGGGAGCGAACAGG